AACGCACAUUGCGCCCUCUGGUAUUCCGGGGGGCAUGCCUGUUCGAGCGUCAUUAUAACCACUCAAGCUCUCGCUUGGUAUUGGGGUUCGCGGUUUCGCGGCCCCUAAAAUCAGUGGCGGUGCCUGUCGGCUCUACGCGUAGUAAUACUCCUCGCGAUUGAGUCCGGUAGGUCUACUUGCCAGCAACCCCUAAUUUUUUUAAGGUUGACCUCGGAUCAGGUAGGGAUACCCGCUGAACUUAA
Molecule: unclassified non-coding RNA, 242 nt
Filed under: Diplonaevia sp.
Lineage: Eukaryota; Fungi; Ascomycota; Leotiomycetes; Helotiales; Calloriaceae
Also listed under: 3 other names
Description: partial contains 5.8S ribosomal RNA, internal transcribed spacer 2, and large subunit ribosomal RNA
Rfam family: 5.8S ribosomal RNA (bases 1-52)
Source: RNAcentral